This 262-nucleotide unclassified non-coding RNA is filed under the name Hevea brasiliensis (rubber tree). Lineage: Eukaryota; Viridiplantae; Streptophyta; Magnoliopsida; Malpighiales; Euphorbiaceae. The record is from RNAcentral.
GUGAAAUUGAGUAUUUAACUUUUAACAAGAUAAUUAUUCUCAUUUUUGUGUUUUAAUUAUUAACUUGAAAAACACAUUGGAAAGGGAAAUCAUAUUUCUUUCACUUACGAAAAUGGAAAUGAAAAUAAUGAACUUCCAAAUAACCACAAAGUGAAUCAUUCUCAUUUAUUUCCAUUCCUGAAUCAAUUUUAGAUAAACCAAAUGUGGCCUUAAUCCUACCUUCUAGAUUUUUUUUCCAAUACUGCCCCUAGAAUCUUUUCUU